GCGGUCUGAAAAUCACUUGAGGUCUCCUGUGGCCCCCGGUGAGAUAACUGUGCCGACAGCAUAGGGAACAUUAAGCUUAUUGCCCACGGUAACGUGUGUGGGGAGUGAAACCCAUGUUCCCAUAACC
This is a small nucleolar RNA of Accipiter nisus (Eurasian sparrowhawk), 127 nucleotides long. The record is from Ensembl. Lineage: Eukaryota; Metazoa; Chordata; Aves; Accipitriformes; Accipitridae.